Long non-coding RNA from Drosophila yakuba, 5136 nucleotides. RefSeq lists it as uncharacterized. The record is from RefSeq and is a predicted model, not a curated record. NCBI's taxonomy places the organism in Eukaryota, Metazoa, Arthropoda, Insecta, Diptera, Drosophilidae. The transcript has 2 exons.
GAGAGGGAGUAAGAGGAGCUUGAAUCAACCUCGGAAAAAGCGAAAUGUUUAACUUUAUGUCUGAGAUUGCGGCAAAUAACUCGAAAUCCCUGUCUGAGCCACGCACACGUUCCUGUGUUCCUGUGUCGCCUUCAGCCCCUCCUGGCGGUUUCUGCUUGUUGCUAUCGUUGUCGUCGGUCUGCAGUCUCCAGUCUCGAGUCUCCAGGCCAACCAACAACGAAUCAGUCGGAUUCAGUGUGGAGUGGCCGGCACAUCGAUGCGAUGAUAACUGGCAUGGCCAAGAGCCAGCAGGACAUGCUGGUGCCAGUCAGCACAAACGACAAUUUAAUGGAUAGUUCAAUGGCACUGAGCACCCGACCAAAACGAACUAGAGUUACUUCCUAUGAAGAUAGUAUAUACCUUCUAUGUUAGCUUCUAUAUUAUGCUAGUACAUACAUAAGAAUUAAGAAUAUCCCAAGUAAAAAUAAUAAUACAGACUAACCCUUUUGCCUUUGGGGUAUCCAUUAAAUAUACUUAUUUCUAAAAUGCCUCAUGAACUGUGAGAUAAUAGUGUUUCCCAAGACUCUAGAACCAGUAGAGCUUUUGACCAGUUCGUCGCCUGGGCAGCUGUUGCUGCUGCCCCCAUCGAUGGAGCACGCUAACUGCUGCUAUUGGCAAUCAGGCUGCUUAAACGCUGCCAGCUAUCCAACUAGCCGGCCAACGACGUGAGCUUAAUGCGCAAAAAGCAGGGAUAGCAGGUCCUGUAAGAGAGACUAUCUAGUGGGGCGGGGUAAGGAUGGAAGGGGUAGAGUGCAUUGGCGUUCGAGUGGCACAAGAUUUAUGCUCGGGUCAACAAGGUCGAUGGCGGCAAGCGUUGCACAUGUUGUCGUCUCAUCUUAAACGUAUUAGAAGCUGGAGCUCCAGUGCCAAGCUCUUUUGCUCCGAACUCAUUUCGUAUGCAGCACAGGCGAUGUUUUAGCAGUUUGCUCUAUUAUUUAUUGCUGGCCGUUUCACUGGCCAGUUCGUCCCAGUUCGUCCCUGUGUGAGUCCAUCCCUUUUGAGAAUCCAUUUGAAAAUCAAAAUCGCAGCUAAUGCGCCAUCAGCAAAUACACAACGAGAUUGCGACAGGGAUGAGCAACGUGGCCUGACCUUCAGUCGAGAAAUCUCAUUAGCAUUGGAGCAGGCUAUAGAAAGGCGUAAGGAUCUGAGGAGCUGCGAAACUGAGCAGGCAGAGGGAAAUGGGGCACAUUGAGGGGGACUUUGUCGGCGCCAGCUUAGUGACUUAAAACACAGGGGCAAACGGUGCUGCUCGGCAGUAAGUUUUCCCAGUAGCUUGCUGUGCAAAAUUUAUUGAAAAACUUUCUUAUCGCAUUUGAACAAGCGAGUAACUUCUCUGUAUGUUUCCGUUUGCCAGUGUGCGUGCGCCUGGAUAUUUGUGAUUAUUUUUUUUAAGUUUCGCAAAACUUUCCUCUCAGGGAUAAGAGGACAAAAAAAAACAAGGAAAACGAAAUGCCAGCGACGACUGGCCGGCCAGACUGAAAGUAACUUAAUUGUUUGCAGAUACAAAUAAAUGAGUUGAGCACAAAAAAAAAAAACAACACACUCACACAAAAGGACACGAGGCCAGGCAAGGCCAAGCUCACAACAAGGGACAGGAAAACAAGAAGAAAGUCUUGACUUGAUUGUUGGAAAAUCUUUGGCCCAGCCAGGCAAACAAAUCGAAAACUUUAAUGCGCUGCCGAGCAACGGGAAGGUGGCGGCGAAAGAUUAAAAGAACUGUUUCGGAUUCUCAAAAAGGAUUUCAGGACACGACAUUUAUUUAGGAAGCUGCUUCUAAUUAGUGGCAAAACAAUGGAGGCGGAGGCAGCUUAUCCUUUACGUUUUGUUCCGUUUUGUAAGGGAAUGCUUUGCCUUUCUUAUUUGGUUUGAUUGUACAAGGAGCGGUGAAAUGAUAUGAUGCAGUGAAAUGAACAGUGAGUUGAAUCGCCUGAGGCGUUUAAGUACGCAAGGGAAUCCUACAAUCAAGGACAUUUGUUAACUUGCGAACCUCCAUAUAGUUCUCCAACUCAAAUCGAAGCCUGCCGAUGGAAAAAAUAACAAGGCCAUGUCCGAGUUGAAAAGCAAUAAAGAUUUCCGCCAGUUCAGCGAUUCGCUAGAAACAUGCCAGCGCAAAAGGACUCCCACUCAGGAUUCAGAAUUCAGGAUCGUGGAAUGGGCCGAAUGGGCGGGUCAUCUGGCCUGCGGUCGCAUUGACAUUAUAGCCUGGCCGAGACAGAAAUUCACAGGAAUCCAUGGAACUACAACAAUAACAACAAUAGUGGCAGGAGAGGCAUGACAUUGAGGGCCAGGACAAUAACUGGGAUAACAAUAAGCACAAUGGCGACGAGAAGGACGAAGGCAGGACGAGCCAAAGCCCGCAUUGUGGAGAUGCUGCUGGCAAGGCAUUCAGCUGUUUGCACAACAAUUUGAUCAAUUUCGUUAUUAAUCCGAUUUGAUGGGGCGAAGAACCCCAUCGGCAGCCAUUUUGACGAUUUUGUGGUUAUUGUCGGAAGUGCAAAUGCAAAUGCAAAUGGAGAUGCAUCCACCGCAAGCUGGAGAGGAGUGCAGAUGAGAUGAGGGGAGAGAAGAGAAGAGAAGAUGGGCCGGGGUAAUGGCUCCUGGGAGUGGGGGCCAAUUGCCAUGCCAGUCACAUGCCCGUUGCCAAAUUUGCACUGGCACAAGUCAAACGCCCCCAUCGAGUUGACAAUGGAGUCCCUGCAUGCCAAUGAAUUGACUCGCACUCGCACUCGCACUCGCAGCAAUCCAAGCCGAAAUUCCCAGUAAAAAUCAAACGUGUCGCUGAUCCGGGGCUUCCUUUAAGUCAAGCGCACCAGGCGACAAAUGUCUGGAGUGCCAGCUGCUUAACCCGCUAAAGAUAUCUAGAAGUUUUCAAUAAAGAAAGCCCUCAGAACAACCAAAACUUAAUAUUAAUUAUGAACUAGAAAAAGGACAUAAAUAAAGUUAAACCUUUUCGAAAUCCUUAAACUUUUAAAAAUUAUAUUGAAUAACUUCUGAGAAAGAUUUCAUAGUUAUUUCAGUUUUUUGGUCAUAUUAAAAACAUCAAAUUUAUACCAAUUUGUCUCAAGUUACUAUCUCAUGUACUACAUGCUACUCAGCCCCAAAAACUAUCCAAUAAAGUAUUUUAUGUCGUUACUUAUCGGUAACCGGAGCUCUUUUGUGCACAGUGGGUUAAUGGAAUCCCCUUCAGGAUGCAGCAAUGCUUCUUUCCAUUGUAGCUGUUAGCCUGGGGAUAUGCAAUGGCAGCACAUUAAAAUAUGUGCAUGCGAUAACGGCUGAAGAGAGGGGGAGCUUUGGGUUGAGUUCGGUUGGGGAGAUGCCAAGAUGCCAAUGCAGGCGACAACGUUCGACAACUGCCAAUGAGUGGGCCUGGCCAGGAGGCGGAGCAGGAGGAGGAGCAAGGACACCAAUCGGGAUGAGGAGCACUGGCGGUUGGGGUCCGUUCAAGUGCGCGUCAGCAGCUACGAGCAGCACAUUUCCGUUUCCGCACACGAAAUGCUCUGGAAACGAAGCAUUUUCAAAAUGCAAAACGUGGCGCAAAAUGUAAACAGGGUUGGGGGCACCACCAAAAGGUACACGGAGAAAUAUGAUUUCCAUUUUUUUUUUUUUGUUGAAGAGUAAGCUAGAUUCUUUGCAAUCUAUGAACACCAUUGUAUUUUUUACUUUUACGGUUGCCACAUUUCAAGAUACUACGAAAUGCAGAGUAGUGCAUAUUUUAGGUAGUUAAUUUGAAUUGACAGUGAAACUAGUUAUUGCUUUUAUAAUAUAAAUAUAAUUUUAAAAGUGAAUACCGUAUGUGUUGAAUAUUUAAAUUAGUUUUCUGUGAUUUACUGACGGAGCUAGCUACGAAAAUAGAGCAAUAGAAUUUUUAUAAAAAUAUAUUUGCCAUGACUGCGUUAUAGUCAGGCUGGCGGCAUGAAAACAAAGCCGAUGGCACUUUAAGCCGCCACCCAUUUGGAGCCACAUAGAAAAGCCCAUCCGCCCAUCAGACCAUCAGCCCAUCAGCCCACUGGAACAUCCCCGCUAGCGGAAAUGCUUUGCAGGGCACGUCGCCGGUAGGCACACCCCCCUUCUCCUGCUCCCCAUCCUCCUUUCUUGCCCCCUCACACACACACACACAUGCACACAUGGAUGCUGCUGGCCGCUAAAAGCUGUUUUUACAGAUAUUUUACCCCCCAAGCCGCAUUCUGCCAUUUCCUUCCGUUCCGUUCCGUUUCGUUACGUAGCGCGACGUUACGUUGACUGACCUUACGUUAUGCUCACAUAUUUCACUCGCGUGCUGCCAGCCACAAAACUGCGACCCCCUGCAGCCAUUAGAAGCAGUGGCGUGUACCCUACACCUGCUUAGGGGGGUUUGAAAACAAAUUAACAAACUAAUAAAGGAGGCAUGCAUCAAUCUGUUUACCAUAUUUAGCUAUUUAUAGUUGAAUUAUGUGCUUUUUAAAACUAAAGAGCAUAAAAUAUGUUUUUAUCUUUAAAAACCCCCUAUGGGGCUGCCACUGCUUCGGAUCCCACAGUUGCUGGCAACUUAACUGCCUCCUAUCCGUACUUUCCGCUUCCAACUCCAGCGCAUAGCCAUUUCCAACGCGUACGUGCUUAUUUUUUAGCAGCUUGAACAAUGUUUUUGCACCCGGGAAAUUUGUGCAGCUUGUGAUAAAAGUUAGAGCCGGAAGGUGCCACAACGCGGGGUCGGAGGGCACGAGGUCGACAUUUUGGGCCUGGCAUACGGAAAAUACGGAAAAUGCAGUGGCAAGAGCGAUUGCCUCCAUCCUUGGCAUGCAUCCAUUGUCGCAUGCAAUUAUUGUGCUGAUUGAAGUGGGGCGAGUGCGGUUGGCGGGGCAACUUGGCGGGGAGCCCCAUAAUUCAUCCAACUUUCACAACAAAGACGACCUGGCACUAAGCCGAAACUCAAGCUGCUGAAAGCCGCGAAGGACACGCAUUCAAGGCAGCACGCAAACAAUAAAAAAAUACCGAGUUUUCAAGUUCACAUUACCAGUGGGAAUUUAAAGCAAACGCCGGCCUAAAUCAGACCCAUUUUUUCUAUGCGUGUGUGUGCUAUGGCCUAAUGGAAAAAUGUAUGAAUUAUUGAGUCCAAGCAAA